GACGAACGCUGGCGGCGUGCUUAACACAUGCAAGUCGAACGGAAAGGCCCUGCUUUUGUGGGGUGCUCGAGUGGCGAACGGGUGAGUAACACGUGAGUAACCUGCCCUUGACUUUGGGAUAACUUCAGGAAACUGGGGCUAAUACCGGAUAGGAGCUCCUGCUGCAUGGUGGGGGUUGGAAAGUUUCGGCGGUUGGGGAUGGACUCGCGGCUUAUCAGCUUGUUGGUGGGGUAGUGGCUUACCAAGGCUUUGACGGGUAGCCGGCCUGAGAGGGUGACCGGCCACAUGGGGAUGGGGUUCGGGCCAGGACUCCACCGGGAGGAAGAGGUGGGGAAUAUGGCCCAAUGGGCGGAGCCUGAUGCAGCAACGCCGCGUGCGGGAUGACGGCCUUCGGGUUGUAAACCGCUUUCGCUCAUGACGAAGCUUUGUGUGACGGUAGUGGGUAAAGAAGCACCGGCUAACUACGUG
Molecule: ribosomal RNA, 468 nt
Filed under: uncultured bacterium
Lineage: Bacteria
Description: partial 16S ribosomal RNA
Rfam family: Bacterial small subunit ribosomal RNA
Source: RNAcentral